GCCUGCAUGUGGACCUCUGGGACAGUGGCUUAGAGACUGUAUUUUAGAACAAGGAGACCCUAGAAUAUUAGAAUGUCAUGGCGCAGGGAGGCUGAACAACAGGCUCUGCCACCAGAUAGUUCCCCUGUUGAACCCUGGCCUCCCGCCUCUAGCUGAGCACCUUGGCCCAUUAUCCCACCUCCUCAUCUCUUCUGUCUGCUCCUGGGCAAAGGGAAUAGUGAUAGCACCUUCCUUCUGGGGUUGCUAUGGAGCUUAAUGAGUGACCAUGAUAUGAACUGUGAUUGGGGCAGAGCCUUGCUCAGGGUCAGAGCUGCAUGAUAACUAUUAUUAUUGACCCUAAUGUUCUUCCAGUCACAUACAAAAAUCUCAAAAUACAGCAGGGACAAGGCCCUGGCUCUCAGAGAGCUCCCAUCAAAGCCAGUGCCAAAUCCCGCCCUCCAAGGCCUCAUAAGAGAGAAUUGUCCUGAUGAAGCACUCCCACCCCUCUUCAUAGCUUAGUGAGGUUCAAGGUCUCUUGGAAUGAUGUCAGCCCUUGGAGCUGCGAGGUCUGGUGAGGUCAGGCAGGACUGGAGCCUUUGUUGAGCAGCGCAAUGAAGUCCUAUGUGUUUUCUGCAAAUGGGCCUAGCCUCUGUCCAUGUCCUUGGAGGACUCUGUGGCUGUGGCUUCCCAGGCCUCCCUGUUGACUGUGUCUAUUGAAAGGGUUCUUUGUACAAGGCCAUCUGGGAAAAGAAUGGCAGUUUGUGCCUCCCCAAGUGUUUGCCAGCAACACCCAGGCCCUGGGUGGGUGCAGGCCACCUCACCCACUGGGAACAUGCUGCUUAAUUCAGACCAGAUUCCUGAGCUCUCACGCAACACCCGUCUCACUGAUAUUAGGCUGUCCCCUCCCGAUAGUGUGUGACAGGAGGAGUUGUGGGGUUAGGAGCAGAGAAGCAUGGGUUCUGGCUCAAACUCCACCAUGUGGUGGCUGGAUGUCCUUUGAUCAAGUAACUUCACCUCUCUGUUCUGAGGCUUUUCAUUUAUAAAAUGUCCUUUCUGUUGCUCAGAGGUUCUAGACAGACGGUUCACACGGGAUAGGAAUAAAGGGGGCUAGACUUAGGUUGCGAGAGUUCAUGAUGAAUUAUUGAUCUAUGAUUAAAUUCUCAGUGCUGGUCAUUUCUGUGGGCAACCAAGUAGUCACCAAAGGGGUGGGGAAGACAGAAGAAGGAGGACCUUGACCUUGGGGCAUCUCUAUUCCCAUCCAGUUUAUUAGAGAAGCAGAGCACACAUUCCUGAGGGCAGAGAAAUAUACAAAUAUAGACUUCAAAGAAAACCACAAGCAUGGUUUAAAUAUACAUCUAUAAACACAUGAACAAUUUCCAAACUAACAACAGCUGGAAGUUCAAGUGCUCCAGAAUUCUGAAUUCUUCAAGUUUAGGAGAAGGUGCUUAAGGUUUUCUGGAGGAGGAAACAGUUCUUAACAAAAGAAAUGUAGAGAAAAGAGUUAGUGAGUCCUGGUGGUGGUGGUGGUGAGGGAGCUAGAGGCCAGGGCAACCUAAUUUGUAAUCAGCUGAAGGUAGACAGAUUUGAUAGUGGCUGGGAUAUGGGGAUGCUGAAGAACCAGCGAUGUGUGAGGGAUGGCUAAUAGUCGUUAAGGGGCAUGGACGAGUGGGCAGGCUCAUCAAGGAAUCACCAUCCUAGGAUCAGCUCAGGUGGUCUCAUGCCAUAAGUCAGUUUUCCAGGGAAAAAGGCUGAGACAGAGAUUUGCAUUCAGGAGGAUUUUUUUUGAGGAUGGCGUUUGGCAUUGCCAUUUCUGGGAGAUGGGGCAGACUGGGAGGUUGGGGGCAGAGCCUCCCUCUUUGGAAGGUACAGCAGAGGUCUCAGCUGAUCCCAUAGGAACUUUGCAGCUGGGAUGGCUGUUCCAAGAGGUUCCUGUCUGAGGCUGGAAGAAAGGACCUGCAAACCUCACUCCCAUACCACUGUCGAUCAGUUAGUGGGUAUGGAGUUAGACUUAGGGGAGACUGCUCCUUCUGUGGAAGGCAGUGCCUGGAGAGGGACAGGGCUGUGAAUUGUCAGGAGCCAUGGCUCCCAGCAGCUGUGGGAAUGCAUGCCUCCAUGCUGAAGGGGAGACUUAGGUGAUGCACCCCAGGAAACAUCCCUAGCAGUGUCUGAUGCCCCUGAUCAGGCCCUAAGACUAAUGCUAGCCCAUUAGAUUCUUCUAGGGCAAAUGUUUCUUUUCCUCAUACCCCUUUAUAGAAUAUUAGAUGUAGAAGUGAAUUUUUGAGACCCUUUCAUCCAAUGAUUCUCAGCCUAGGUGAAGAGACUUUUUCAAACCACCCUCAGGAGAUUUGAUGUGCAUCGACCUUCUGCCACCAAGACUCAACUAUCAGCUCCUUGAAGUUGGGGCUCCGUCUUACACAGUGUCACUACGACCACCUUCCCUUCGCAGACUGCUCCCUCGGCCUGAAAGUGUCCCUGCUUGGGACUUGUUUCUGCUUCUGGAUCCAGUUCAGUUAUGACUUCUUCCGGCCCUGUGGAACUGGUACCCCUCUUCUGCAUAAAUGAGUUAAUGUACCUAAGAUGAUUAUGGAAUGAACUGGAUUUGGGAGCCUCCCUCUGAAACGGAGAAUGCCUUCCAAGCACUGAGAGUGAAGGCUGGGUGGCCCUGUGACCCUGACAAGAGCCAAAGAAGACGGGGUUGGAGGUUGCCCAUUCAGGCUCUCUACCAGACUAACUGAAUCCGCAGAUGUACAUUCUCUGCCUUUGAUCACACUGUCUCUGUCAUAUCUCUUCUCCUCUGCCUCCUCUUUGUAAGUUCUGCUCAAUAUCAGACAUUUUCUAGGCCAAAUCUUUGAAAAGAUUAAGUUAUUUUUCCAUCUUUCUUCAAAGUUGGCUUUGAAUAAAACCCAUUUUCCUAUCAA
Molecule: non-coding RNA, 2897 nt
Organism: Ictidomys tridecemlineatus (thirteen-lined ground squirrel)
Lineage: Eukaryota; Metazoa; Chordata; Mammalia; Rodentia; Sciuridae
Source: RefSeq, a predicted model, not a curated record